This 253-nucleotide ribosomal RNA is filed under the name uncultured bacterium. RNAcentral's name for it is "partial 16S ribosomal RNA". It matches the Rfam family "Bacterial small subunit ribosomal RNA", at positions 524 to 776 of the family's 1533-position model. The record is from RNAcentral.
UACAGAGGGGGCAAGCGUUGUUCGGAAUUACUGGGCGUAAAGAGCGUGUAGGCGGCCAGGUAGGUCUGCUGUGAAAACUCGAGGCUCAACCUCGAGACGUCGGCGGAAACCAUCUGGCUAGAGUCCGGAAGAGGAGAGUGGAAUUCCUGGUGUAGCGGUGAAAUGCGCAGAUAUCAGGAAGAACACCCGUGGCGAAGGCGGCUCUCUGGGACGGUACUGACGCUGAGACGCGAAAGCGUGGGGAGCGAACAGG